UGACACUUUAUUUGACAGCUGGGCGAUUUGAAUUCGGAGUAAAUCCACUGAAAAUACAUGCAAUAUUGGUGGGUAAAGUAAAAAUGCCACCUUUUCCGAUACCACAAGCUACACAGGUAGUUAGUCAAAAGCAAUACCGGAUACCUGGAGGACAGGAAGAAAUUUCGGCGACCAUUAAAGAAUAUUUAGAAGCUGGUGUAUUGAAAAUAGUGACGACAAACUGGAACAAUCCGUUGUGGCCAGUCAGGAAAUCAGAUAAUUCUUGGAGGAUGACAGUAGACUACAGAGGAUUGAAUAAACACACACGUGCAUUGACUUCCACGGUGCCCGACGCAGUGACAAUUAUAGAACGAGUGCAACAUCAUCCCGGAACGUGGUAUGGGGUCAUAGAAUUGGCUAACGCAUUUUUCACUAUUCUUAUUCCUGAGGAUAGGAUGAAUCAAUUUGCGUUUACCUGGGAAGGGCGCCAAUACACGUUUACCAGACUACCACAGGGUUAUUUACAUAGUCCCACAAUCUGCCACCGGGUGGUAGCAGACACCUGGAAAAGCUAAAAGUUCCUAAGGAAAUAAUGAUAUCACAUUAUAUCGAUGACAUACUAGUGCAAGGAACGAGCGAGGUAGAGGUGAAGGAAGUUCUAGGACAGCUAAUACAGCACAUGAAAGGGUUCGGAUGGGAAAUUAACCCUGCAAAGGUCCAAGGACCUUCGCAAACGGUGAAAUUUCUAGGAAUCAUCUGGAACAAAGGGGAAAGGGAAGUGGCAGAAAAAGCUAAGGCUAAGUUCCACACACCAAGGCAGAUGCUAGGAAAUACAUCGGGUUGUUUGGAUUUUGGAGGAAUCAUAUUCCUCAUUUGGGACAGAUACUUCAACCUCUCUACAAAUGCACUAGGAAAAAGGAGGACUGUAGUUGGGGGGAAGAACAACAGCGAUCAUUUGAUAUGGCGAAGGAAGCGAUACAGCAAGCAGUGUCACUGGGAAAAAUGAAAACAGGACCGGUAGAAUUGCAGGUGUCGGCGUUAAAUGAAUACGCUAACUGGAGUUUGUGGCAAAAGCAAGAUAGGAUUCGUAAACCCUUGGGAUUCUGGAUGAGAAAGCUCCCAGAAGCAGGCCUAAGGUACACACCUUUUGAAAAGCAGUUAUUAGCAUGCUAUUGGGCAUUGGUUGAAACUGAGGCUCAAACGGUGGGCGAUGAGGUGUUAAUGAGAAGACAUAUACCGAUUUUGACAUGGGUUAAAGGUAACCCGACGACACAUUGAAUAGGAACCGCACAGGAAGCUAGUAUUAUCAAAUGGAAAUGGUAUGUGUCUGAGCAAAUUAAAAUAGGGGAAAAAGGAGUCUAAUGAGUGGGCAAAGACUCACCGUGUAGAAUGGAUCUUUCACAUUCCCUAUUAUCCGCAGGCUGCUGGGUUAAUAGAGCGAAUGAAUGGAAUUCUUAAGGAAACAUUGAAAAAGCUAUCUCGAAACAGAACGCCGGACAAAUGGUGCAAAGACUUACCCGAGGCGGUGAAUCAGAUUAAUAGUAGACCGCUUGGGGCGGGAAUAACGCCCCUAAUACGAAUGAUAAUGGGGGAACCGGUACAAAAUUCCAAUGGGGAAAUUAAAAUGUGGAAAAUUGAUCCUCAAGCUGAAAUUCCCAUACGAGCUACUCCAGGCUCAGCGGGAUUGGAUUUGAAAAUCCUGACAAACAUGACUCUGGUUCCCAACGAAAUCCAAAUAGUGAAAACAGGAUUGGGGCUCCAGUGUCCACCAGGGACAUAUGGACACAUUCUACCACGAAGUGGGUUAUCACUAAAAGGGUUAACAAUUCAAGCCGGAGUAAUUGAUGCGGACUGUCAAGGAGAAAUUGGAGUGGUAUGCAAAUUAUUAGCAGAACAGCCCCUUACAUUGGAAAAACGGGACAAAAUUGCUCAAUUGGUAGUGAAGCCUUGCCUUGUAACCAAGGUAAAAGAAAUACCUAAACCUGUGGUGAUAACCACCAGAGGGGAGGGAGGAUUUGGCUCCACUGAUUUGGCAGGGGCAAAAGUUUGGGUAAAACAGCCAGACGGUCCUCCCCGAGCAGCAGAAAUUAUAGCUCAAGGGCAAGAUGCUACUGUGAGCGUCUUAUAUCCUGGAGAGGAAAAAUGGGUAAAUGUACCGGUGUCAAAAUGUUAUACAAGAGAGAACUAAUCAUAUGUUUGUAGUAUGCACUAUUUGUCGUAAUACAGAUGCCAUGGUGGUAUUUGCUGAUUGGAAGACCAUCAUCGGAGAGGCGCCAUGGCCGGACCAGGGAAGACCGAGGGCCCAAGAGGUGGCAGUGUCGUCUGGUGGGUCACGUGUAUCCUUGUCCUUGGGGCCAUGGUCCAACUCUGCUGCGCAAUGACGGAGGGUGACAAAUUGGAGCAGAUCCAGCGGUUCCACAUAAGAUGGAAAAACAGUACCCAGGACCGUACUCAAGGAGACUACACCUGUCCAGCUUACCAAGCUUGCGACGUGGUAAACGUCACCAGCAAUUGUCGGAUGUGGAAGUGCAGAAGGUGCCUUGCAGGAAAGGAUAUCCCGGUGGUGGAACAAGGAUGCAACUUAACCGUCACUUCAGUAGUCCCCAAGUGCCACUACAACAGGACGACCAGGACCUUCAAUGAGCACAACAGGACGAGAUGAUGGCUGGUUGACAAGCGGAGCUCUGCCUGGGUGUUUGGCUCUCCACCUUCUCGGCAUAGGAAGAACUGCACCAAGUUGCUCAUUUGUGGAAUACCCACAUUAUCUGUAACAGCAGAAUUGCCGUAGGUCCAAUGUUGUUGUACACCAUCCCUCAUCUCUUUGGAGGGCAAUAUUCACUGGUCACUCAUGAGGCACUGCAGGCUUGUAAACAAGAAUGCCAACAGAGAGGACCAUAUUCUUGUGAUGAGACUGUUUUCAACUUGUGCUGGCUUAUGACAGAAAAUUUCUUACACUCACUCACAACAGCAGAUGAGGCCAUUGAGCUGUAUCUUUUCCUGAGAGCAGACAUACUUAAAAACAUAUAAAUGAAUAGGUUAAUCACUACAAUUGUCAAACAAAUCAUCCUUCCUUCUGGCUCACACAUUUUAAAUUUAUGGAUGUCUGACAAAUCAUUCAUCCAUCCAUUUUCUGCACGGGUUACCCACACAAGGGUCCGAGGCCUAGUGCAGCCUAUCCCAGCUGACUGAGCAAGGGGUGGGUUACACACUGAAAUGGUCGCCAGCCAUUACCAACGCACAGAUGGAAAAAUCAUUUUUUCUGAAAUUAUAAUAGCUCUGGAUUGAAAGGCUGUUAUCACAGCACAGAGGGCUUUAUCUGUUAUAAGAGGAAUUGAUCUGAAUGGAGCAACAGGUGUAUUAAAAUUUAUGACAUGUAAAUGAAGGAUGACCAGAAAUCCAACAUGUCAAGGUAUUUCAAAAUGUGGUGCUGUGUUGGUGAGAUCAUGUUUACAUGACUUGUACUUUUUGAGAAUGGGCACCCAAUCCUCAUUUUUUUUAAUUGAUACUACAGGCUGUAAUUGGGUGGCAACCAGUUCAGGGUGUGCUCUGCUCGACCUCUCACCUGAAAUGAUCUUGGGCAUCAACACAGCUGUGACCCUAGUGAGGAUAAGAUGUAAAGAGAAUUUAUGGAUGAUACGACAUGCAUUUUUUUUUUAACUCUGAUGUCUCCAAUAUGGAUUGAUUGGACAGUUGUUUUCUUUUACCAGAGAAGGUUGUAGCCUCUGACUGAAAUCUUUAGUUGAACUGUUGACAAAUGACUAGAGAUUGGAAAAUUACAACUGUUUUUAUAUGGACUUGUUUUUCAAUAUUUCUUAUUUUUAAAGAAAUUAAAGGUCUU
Molecule: long non-coding RNA, 3817 nt
Organism: Syngnathoides biaculeatus (alligator pipefish)
Lineage: Eukaryota; Metazoa; Chordata; Actinopteri; Syngnathiformes; Syngnathidae
Exons: 3
Source: RefSeq, a predicted model, not a curated record